UACGGGGGGGGCAAGCGUUGUUCGGAUUUACUGGGCGUACAGGGAGCGUAGGCGGUUGGAUAAGCCCUCCGUGAAAUCUCCAGGCUUAACCUGGAGAGUGCAGAGGGGACUGUUCAGCUAGAGGAUGGGAGAGGAGCGCGGAAUUCCCGGUGUAGCGGUGAAAUGCGUAGAGAUCGGGAGGAAGGCCGGUGGCGAAGGCGGCGCUCUGGAACAUUUCUGACGCUGAGGCUCGAAAGCGUGGGGAGCAAACAGG
This 253-nucleotide ribosomal RNA is filed under the name uncultured bacterium. RNAcentral's name for it is "partial 16S ribosomal RNA". It matches the Rfam family "Bacterial small subunit ribosomal RNA", at positions 524 to 776 of the family's 1533-position model. The record is from RNAcentral.